AGGACGAACGCUGGCGGCGUGCUUAACACAUGCAAGUCGAGCGGAAAGGCCUUUCGGGGUACUCGAGCGGCGAACGGGUGAGUAACGCGUGAGUAAUCUGCCCAUCGCUUCAGGAUAGCCAUCGGAAACGGUGAUUAAUACCGGAUAUGACAUUCCUUCGCAUGUUGGGGUGUGGAAAGUUUUUUCGGCGGUGGAUGUGCUCGCGGCCUAUCAGCUUGUUGGUGGGGUAAUGGCCUACCAAGGCUUUGACGGGUAGCCGGCCUGAGAGGGUGACCGGCCACACUGGGACUGAGACACGGCCCAGACUCCUACGGGAGCAGCAGGUGGGAAUAUUGCACAAUGGGCGAAAGCCUGAUGCAGCGACGCCGCGUGAGGAUGGAAGGCCGUUCGGGUUAGUAAACCUCUUUCGAGCGAGGACGAAGCGCGAAGUGACGUACUGCAGAGAGCGCCGCUAACUACGUGACCAGCGACGCCGAC
This 477-nucleotide ribosomal RNA is filed under the name uncultured soil bacterium. Its description in RNAcentral is "bacterial SSU rRNA". It matches the Rfam family "Bacterial small subunit ribosomal RNA", at positions 26 to 522 of the family's 1533-position model. The record is from RNAcentral.